This 473-nucleotide ribosomal RNA is filed under the name Streptococcus sp. oral taxon 064. RNAcentral describes it as "bacterial SSU rRNA". It matches the Rfam family "Bacterial small subunit ribosomal RNA", at positions 28 to 488 of the family's 1533-position model. The record is from RNAcentral. Lineage: Bacteria; Bacillati; Bacillota; Bacilli; Lactobacillales; Streptococcaceae.
GACGAACGCUGGCGGCGUGCCUAAUACAUGCAAGUAGAACGCUGAAGGAGGAGCUUGCUUCUUCGGAUGAGUUGCGAACGGGUGAGUAACGCGUAGGUAACCUGCCUGGUAGCGGGGGAUAACUAUUGGAAACGAUAGCUAAUACCGCAUAACAGUAGAUGUUGCAUGACAUUUGCUUAAAAGGUGCAAUUGCAUCACUACCAGAUGGACCUGCGUUGUAUUAGCUAGUUGGUGGGGUAACGGCUCACCAAGGCGACGAUACAUAGCCGACCUGAGAGGGUGAUCGGCCACACUGGGACUGAGACACGGCCCAGACUCCUACGGGAGGCAGCAGUAGGGAAUCUUCGGCAAUGGACGGAAGUCUGACCGAGCAACGCCGCGUGAGUGAAGAAGGUUUUCGGAUCGUAAAGCUCUGUUGUAAGAGAAGAACGAGUGUGAGAGUGGAAAGUCACACUGUGACGUAUCUACCAGAA